Molecule: ribosomal RNA, 497 nt
Filed under: uncultured bacterium
Lineage: Bacteria
Description: partial 16S ribosomal RNA
Rfam family: Bacterial small subunit ribosomal RNA
Source: RNAcentral
GAUGAACGCUGGCGGCGUGCCUAAUACAUGCCAGUCGAGCCAACAGACGAGGAGCUUGCUCCUCUGACGUUAGCGGCGGACGGGUGAGUAACACGUGGAUAACCUACCUAUAAGACUGGGAUAACUUCGGGAAACCGGAGCUAAUACCGGAUAAUAUAUUGAACCGCAUGGUUCAAUAGUGAAAGACGGUUUUGCUGUCACUUAUAGAUGGAUCCGCGCCGCAUUAGCUAGUUGGUAAGGUAACGGCUUACCAAGGCGACGAUGCGUAGCCGACCUGAGAGGGUGAUCGGCCACACUGGAACUGAGACACGGUCCAGACUCCUACGGGAGGCAGCAGUAGGGAAUCUUCCGCAAUGGGCGAAAGCCUGACGGAGCAACGCCGCGUGAGUGAUGAAGGUCUUCGGAUCGUAAAACUCUGUUAUUAGGGAAGAACAAAUGUGUAAGUAACUAUGCACGUCUUGACGGUACCUAAUCAGAAAGCCACGGCUAACUACGUG